Verticillium dahliae VdLs.17 is the source of this 112-nucleotide transfer RNA. It matches the Rfam family "tRNA". From Rfam's summary of the family: Transfer RNA (tRNA) molecules are approximately 80 nucleotides in length. Their secondary structure includes four short double-helical elements and three loops (D, anti-codon, and T loops). The record is from Rfam. NCBI's taxonomy places the organism in Eukaryota, Fungi, Ascomycota, Sordariomycetes, Glomerellales, Plectosphaerellaceae.
GGCGCUUUGGCCGAGUGGUUAAGGCGAUGCCCUGCUAUUGAUGAGUGUCCUCCGACGUUCGAUAGAUUAGGCAUUGUGUUCGCACGCGCAGGUUCGAAUCCUGCAGGCGUCG